Molecule: unclassified non-coding RNA, 3913 nt
Filed under: Venturia canescens
Lineage: Eukaryota; Metazoa; Arthropoda; Insecta; Hymenoptera; Ichneumonidae
Description: proline-rich protein 4-like, transcript variant X5
Source: RNAcentral
CCCAGUUGCGAUAAAUAUUUUCGCCUAUCAUCUUUAUCCCUGUUAAUAAGUACAGUGAAAUCAGUGCUUCGUGAUAGCCAUGGCACAUGUGAGUGCUGCAAAAUCCCAUUGAAUUAGAGGUGAAUUUUUAUGCAACGGGAUGGCCCAACUCGUAUACCUGCAGUUACGACAAGUAUCCAAACAUUCGAUGCAUUUUCACCAAUCCACGAAUGCAGGAACGCUCAGGAUAUCACACAAUAGAUCCUAAUGAUCUCGAGGAUCCGAACGUUGCUUAUUAAAAAGGUUCAAUGCCCGUGGAAGAGGUUCAUUAUAAUGAUGAUGCAGUGUCUUCAUGGAUUAAGAUGUCAUGAAAGACGCUCAGGUAGCCAUCACCAACGGUUUGACGUAUAAAAUAUUUAAUUAGUGUAUAAGCGAAAAUGCUUUGGAAUUGACAACUUUCUAAAAAAAAAUUGAGUGUCUUCCUCGUUUUGUAUUAGUGCAGUUUUCAGGUAGCUGCACUAAUUUGCAGUCAGAAUAUCUCCCUUUUGUAUCUUCAUGCAAGAGGAAUCCUCUAGACGCGUGUCGAGACGUCCAAAGAUUGCAAGAUUUACAGCAAUUAUGGAUCAGCAAGCCUCACUGUCAUUUUCUACAUCCCCACAAAGAGUUCUGAGAAUACAAAUCGUUUGUGAUUCGUCUGUGCUAAAUCACCUUCCUUGAUAAGCUUCCAUGAAUAAUGCUAUACGUGAGGAUAUCUCACCUGUUAAAAUACUUAAUCCACAAUAAUGCUCUCGCUUUCAUACGUUGUUCGUAGGUGUGUUGCGAGCCGAGGAUUUGGAGGAUUACCAUCGAGGACUCGAGGCGAUGGAUUUGAGCGGAUUGCAGAUGCAAGUAAAGACCGAUAUCGGAGGCGAUUUGCAGACGGGGGCAGACGAUAGCGGAAGCGAAGGGGCUGAGUCGCAAGUUCUAGGUCACCACGUGCACGAAGAUGUGCAAAAGACGGUUACGAUAGUUAAGAAUGUCGCAGUACCUUAUCCCGUAGAGAAAACGAUUCGCUAUCCGGUUGUGAAGAGGAAUUACUAUCCCGUUAAAGUACCGGUAGUCCAGCCGUAUCCGGUUGAAAAACAAAUUCCAUUUCCGGUCAAGGUGAUGGUUAAAGUUCCAGUGAAAAUUCCAAAACCUAUACCGGUCUACAAAGAAGUACCGUACGCGGUGGAAGUCCCGGUCGAACGACCAGUGCCCUAUAAAGUCUACAUACCCGAGCCCUAUCCAGUCGAGAGGAAAAUUCAUUAUGAGGUUAAAGUUCCAGUGCCGGAACCAUUCCCGAUCGAACGAAAGAUACCGGUACCGGUGAAGGUCCAUGAGCCUGUUUUGCAACCGUUUCCAGUGGAAAAGCCGUUGCCUUAUCCGGUCGAAGUGAAGGUCGAUAGACCGGUAGCUGUAGAAGUAGAGAAGCCCUAUCCAGUUCCAAUCACAAAACCGGUGCCGUACCCGGUGUAUAAUCCAAGACCAGUACCAGUCGAAGUUAAGGUUGACAGACCGUACCCAGUGCCGGUCGUCAAACACGUUCCGUAUGAGGUCAAAGUACCGGUACCACAACCGUAUCCAGUCGAAAAAGAAGUGCCCUUUCCGGUGGUCAAGCCUGUGCCGUAUCCGGUCGAGGUCCCUGUUGAGAGACCUUAUCCAGUUCAUGUAGAAAAGCACGUGCCUUACACCGUCGAAAAGAAGGUCCCUUAUCCGGUCGACGUCCCGGUUCCUGUUGUCGAUUAUCACCAUAGUUCAGCUUCCGAUUCUGAAGACUUUCAAGGCGAUCAGCCCCCGAAGGAAUCUGACAAACGUCACGAACCUCCAGGAUCAAAAAAGGAAAAAGAAGAAACUUCCACGCAGAAUUCAGAGAAGAGUGAAUGAAGCUGAUGGCUACUCGACUGACGCAGGUUGCAAGCGGGUUGCAGGCCAGCAGGCGUUCACGGAGGCAAGCAAACCAUGAAAGUGAAUCUUAGCUCGGCCCCUGAAGAACUGAUUCUUACCGACUCCGGUGCAUGUCGUAUCGAGCAACCGAAACAAUAUCCACCGACAUGCAAACCUGGCUUCGUUUUCACAAAUACUUUCAUCAUGUUCAUGUGCUCGGAUGUUGUACAAUAAUGUAGCGAUAUUAAUCAUAAAAUUCUUUUUUUUUUACUACGUUUAAGAAUGACCUGCAUACAUAGAUUCUAGUCAAAACCAGCGGUAGGACAUGCCAACUGUUAUUCCCGUCAUUAGUUUUUUUUUUCAUUCUACAGAACUUAUGGUAUUUUGUUCUUAACUUUUUUUCUCGGUGUUAUUAUCACGAGGCGCAAAAAAGAUGCACAAGAUUUUUCUUGCCCAGGCAUCUGUUAUGGAAUCAUGAGAUUUUACGGUCUUCGAGAAAGUACCAGAUUGAAACUCUCGUUUCCCUGCAGCUGUACCCACGUGUACCAGGUACAAUGCCACAUUGUAGAGUGUUAACGAUUUUUAAAGAAAUGAAGAUUUUGGAGCAGGAGUAUUUACUGAGAAGACGAUAUCGAUUUACAGGAUUCUUUGAUCUUUCUUUCUUCCUGUUCCCUUCGACUUCUUAGUUAAGUUUCUUGUUGUUUCGUUGUUCUUCUUUCUCCGUAGAAUGAAACGACUAUCGAUAACACACAAGGAAAUGAAAAUAUAAAGACUUCUCGAAAGAAUGGGGCAGCUGAAGUAUAGAAUUUGUAAAGAAUUUUCUGGUGCUAGUUUAUUUUAAAAUGGUCAAUCUGUGCAAUAGGAAUGUGGAAAAUUGCUCGGAACAAAUGGGUCCAGAUCUAACGGUGUUCAAAUAAAAGCAAAGCAAGAAAGUCUAUCGAUUGACCAAAAGAUAAUUGUACAGUUGUUUUGACGUCUCGAAUAUUUUUUUGAUCCAGGGAAAGUUCUGCCUUUGUCCUAUAAAUAUAAUGCUUGAAGUUUGUCAACUGGUAUUCAGUUUACGGUGAGACACGGUUUUACUAACUUUGGGAUAGAUUUUUGCGAUCUUCGUGAUUUUAAAAAUGACACGACACAACAAGGAGAUCCGAGUGAUAGCGUGUGCCUUUCUCUGGCUAUACUUGAUGGAGGGGAGUCAGGGGACGAAAAGGAAGGAUCUCGAACGAGCAGCCGAGUUGGCGGUCGAGCGCGCCGCGGAACGAGCAGCGGAGAGGGCCGUAGAAAAGGCUCUCGAAAGUGGCAAUAGCACCAGCGAGUCCGAAACGAUACGAGAAUCAUAUUCGAGUGUGAGGAAGUACGACAAGAGCUUGAAACUUCCGGAAACAGGAUAUACGCCCGCCCAGCGUCGGGAGUAUGACAGAAUUAUGUUAGAACGCGAGGCAGCCGAGAAAGCAUCAGCAGUUUUGAAGAGAUCAAUCAUAGAUGAUGGAUCUGACUCGAGUUACGAGUCCGGCAUAGUCGAUGCGGAUCAAACUGCUGAGUCUCAACGUCAACGAGCGUAUUAUGAAAAUCGAUCGGGACUAAAUUCAGGUUCUCCACGGCGGCGUUCCCGUGGCACGAGACAAAUUCAACCUCGGGUCAAAGGUCAGAAGGACAGCCUUAAAAGGAACGAGAAUCGAGUAGACAAUUGGCAAAGAGUUCCGCCUGUAUAGCUUUUGCAAUCUCUGCUGUGACCUAUCAAAAUUACGUCAACCAUCGAAGUUCCGAGGUCAAUAACGCCGGAGAUUGCUCCGUCAUAUUGAUGGACACGUGCAAGCCGAUCAUGCCUAGAUUCAUCGGUUACUCCCUUCCAAUGACUUUCCCAUAUGCAUAUAUGUAGUGACACUGCGUCCUAUCUUCGAGGCUUCAAUCAAGUCUCAAUUGUAGUCACGAUAUAGUCCAAUGAUUAGUUGAUGCACUUUUUUGGACUCUGUACCCUAUCGACUGAGCAUCAUUCGAAAUUAUGAUAGACAAUGUGCUGCUGGACAUUUUG